GAUGAACGCUGGCGGCGUGCCUAAUACAUGCAAGUCGAGCGAACAGACGAGGAGCUUGCUCCUCUGACGUUAGCGGCGGACGGGUGAGUAACACGUGGAUAACCUACCUAUAAGACUGGGAUAACUUCGGGAAACCGGAGCUAAUACCGGAUAAUAUAUUGAACCGCAUGGUUCAAUAGUGAAAGACGGUUUUGCUGUCACUUAUAGAUGGAUCCGCGCCGCAUUAGCUAGUUGGUAAGGUAACGGCUUACCAAGGCUACAAUGCGUAGCCGACCUGAGAGGGUGAUCGGCCACGCUGGAGCGGAGACGCGGUCCAGACUCCUACGUGAGGCAGCGGUAGGGAAUCUACCGCAAUGGGCGAAAGCUUGACGGAGCAACGCCGCGUGAGUGAUGAAGGUCUUCGGAUCGUAAAACUCUGUUAUGAGGGGAGAACAAAUGUGUAAGUAACGAUGCGCGUAUUAACGGAACCUGAUCAGAAGGCCACGGCUAACUACGU
Molecule: ribosomal RNA, 496 nt
Filed under: uncultured bacterium
Lineage: Bacteria
Description: partial 16S ribosomal RNA
Rfam family: Bacterial small subunit ribosomal RNA
Source: RNAcentral